UGUUUUGUUACUUUUGUAAUCCCUCUCUCAGAGAGAAACGAUUCAUUUCUUCAACACCCUUUUUCUUAUUUUUCCUCUUCCUCCCUCUCUUACAGUGAAGCAGUCGAGGAGAAGUGGGUUAUACACUAAUCAAAACUUCUGCUAAUGUUGUCGAAGCAAAUCGUUUUUUUUUUGGUCAAGAAUUUCAUCGAGCCCUUAAAAUUCACUGGAUGAAAUCAUAUACAGGAAACAGAUUUACAAAACAGCAGAAUCGAUGUGAUUUUUAGAGAUGCACAAAGAACUAUCUAGGGUUUAAUUUGGAAUUUUUCAUUUCGCAAACCGAAGCAGCAGCAUUUUAGUUGAACCUGAUGCAGUUGAUUCAGUGGAAAGAAGGGAAAGAAAAAUAUACAGUAAGCAGUGGAGACCAAAUUUGCACUCCAGAAUGUCCGUUUUCAUGUUCUUCCGAUUGGUGUCUGAUCAUCCUCUUCAUACUAAUCAGUUCCUUUUUGAAUAAGUUAGGGAAACUGGCCGCCCUUAUCGAUGCAGCUGAGGAAUAUCGAUACAAUAUGAGACGCCUAUAUCAAGUAUCAACUAGAAAAUGUCCGAGUUCCGUUGGGGAGGAAACUCCAAGAAAAACCAUAUGUUGUGUAUCACGUAUUUUGUUCUUAUGUGCACUUAGUGUAUCGCAUUUUUGCACAAUGCUUAUGGUGAUCGAGAUGGGUACUUGGCUGAUAAAGGCAAUAGUAGUGUCUGCAGCAACAGUGGGGUAAAUUCAAAUUAUUUACCCUUCGAGUUCCACUGUACAUAUACUUAGAGCUUCUCCAAUGGUGGUUGUGUGUGUUUCCUAGGUGGCAACACAAACAAGACAUCCUCAUUUUAAUUUUUCCUUAAGUUUUGGGAGGAAGAAUAGUUCAUCUCUAAAGUGGUGUUGUUUGUGAUAUUUUAUGGAUUAAAUGUAAAUUUUAUUUUUAGUAAUUUUUAGAUUUUAUUAGAGCUAAAAA
Molecule: RNA transcript, 980 nt
Organism: Papaver somniferum (opium poppy)
Lineage: Eukaryota; Viridiplantae; Streptophyta; Magnoliopsida; Ranunculales; Papaveraceae
Exons: 6
Source: RefSeq, a predicted model, not a curated record